CUGCCUGGCCCCUUCUGCGAGUCUCUCAUCAGGAGCCAUCCCAACACCUUUGUAGAGAUCCGACGACGUGCGGUGGCGCACAUAGUGGCAGAAACAGAGGUUUCUGAGAAGAGGGGAAGUGCUGCACCACCAAGACCGCGUGGAGGGCAAGGAAAACCACAGCAAGCAAGGGUGCAUGAGGCCAAGGAGGGGAAAAAGGUGCGGGAAAAACCUCGUCCCUACGCGCCAGGCAAAGAGCAGAGCAGGGGGCGUGCGAGGGAGAAUAACGCACCCCCAAGAUACAAUUUCAUGGUGGGAUUGGCGGAUCUCAUCGCCCUUCCUGCUGUAGCAGCAAGACUACGCGUACCAG
Molecule: long non-coding RNA, 349 nt
Filed under: Phaseolus vulgaris (common bean)
Lineage: Eukaryota; Viridiplantae; Streptophyta; Magnoliopsida; Fabales; Fabaceae
Description: long non-coding RNA (PVUL_LNC002247)
Source: RNAcentral